RNAcentral lists this ribosomal RNA (279 nucleotides) under uncultured bacterium. RNAcentral's name for it is "partial 16S ribosomal RNA". It matches the Rfam family "Bacterial small subunit ribosomal RNA", at positions 506 to 784 of the family's 1533-position model. The record is from RNAcentral.
UGCCAGCCGCCGCGGUAAUACGGAGGGUGCAAGCGUUGCUCGGAAUUACUGGGCGUAAAGCGAGCGCAGGCGGAUUAUUAAGCCAGAUGUGAAAGCCCAAGGCUCAACCUUGGAAUUGCAUCUGGAACUGGUAAUCUAGAGGAUAAGAGAGGGAAGUAGAAUUCCUGGUGUAGAGGUGAAAUUCGUUGAUAUCAGGAGGAAUACCUGUGGCGAAGGCGGCUUCCUGGCUUAUUUCUGACGCUGAGGCUCGAAAGCGUGGGUAGCGAACAGGAUUAGAUA